RNAcentral lists this long non-coding RNA (8301 nucleotides) under Zea mays. RNAcentral describes it as "long non-coding RNA (ZMAY_LNC005198)". The record is from RNAcentral. Lineage: Eukaryota; Viridiplantae; Streptophyta; Magnoliopsida; Poales; Poaceae.
AAGCCCAAACACUAAUCUUUGUGUCACACCCGGGUUUUAGGGGGUCCAAAGCCCGGGCGUAAACAUAAACACCAGGUGUGCUGGGACCAAGUCUCACACAUAUGAUGCAUAGUGGCUCAGGAUCGAAUGUCACAUCUUUACUACAUAACAGGAGUUCUAUACAAAAUAAAUAGAUAAUUACAUUAUAAGGAGACAACGGUCCAGCAACCCAAAGUUGACUGGGAGACGACGACCUAGACCUCUCACGAACUCGACACAGCAUCCUUCAUGCGCCUCAUCCUGUGGUACCUGUUCUUGACCUGUGGGGGGGGUGUGAGACAGCAAGAGUGAGCUCACAUACGUUCAUCGCUCAACAAGUUGUGGGGAAUAAUGUGUAUGAACUCGCCAAAGGUGGGAGCUCAUGUGAAGUGUAAGGCUUACCAAAGAGGAUGGUUAGAGCUGAGCAUUGCUUUUAAAGUUGGUCAAAAUUUUAUUAGCAAUUACUAAGUAUAAGUAAAUACCAACCCAAUUAAAUAGUAGAACAGAAGUAACAACAUCACCUGUACAACAUCACCUGCGAUGCAAUGCAUAUGACAAAUUGAGUUUAAUUCCAUAAUUUAAUCAUGUGAGUGUCCGAGCCGCUCAUGACCGUGAGCACGGCUAGUAUACCAGUUUUACACUCUGCAGAGGUUGCGCAUCUUUACCCACAAGUCAUGUUACCCAUCUGCCAAGGGAUCGCGACUUCCCAUACACCUCUACCGAGGAGGCGAGGCAGGGUAACACUACGAGGCCUUUACAAAGUUCCACUAGCUUCAGAAAACCCGCUACAGUUUAUAGGAAGCUCCAAUGCAGGAAUCCCUUGCAGGACCGCCAUCACAGCAAAAUCCUCCCGAGGGCCUCCCCAGGAAUCCCUUGCAGGACCGCCAUCACAGCAAAAUCCUCCCGAGGGCCUUCCCAGGAAUCCCUUGCAGGACCGCCAUCACAGCAAAAUCCUCCCGAGGGCCUCCCUACACUGACCACUCCCCUACUGCCCUUGCCCCUUUCGGGUAAGGUAGUCUUCCACUAGCUUUCCUAAUUAAUCGGCCAAGGGCGUCCCAUUAAACCCUUGUGGUAGCACUGUUUUCCCGGGUGGUUCUCCAUGUUCCAAUUAACAUAAUGAUCUUAUCAUGAACAGUGAUAAUAAACAGAUAAUAAAAGUGUGAUCAUGAAUAAUGUAUCUUCAUACCCAAAACCACAUAAAGCACUAGCAAGUACUACCCAAAAAGUUCAGUGGUAAACAAGGUAUAAAGAUAGACAAACUAGGGUAACCUAUUGGGUCCCAUCAAAUUAACCUAUGCAGAUCAUUAUGAUUAAUUAGAACAUGAGUGGGUAAAAAGAAGUGAUCAAGGGCACAACUUGCCUGGGACUUGAGAUUCCAGGUACCAGGAUGAUCUUCAGAUGACUCGUGACCUCACUGCUAGUCGUAGCAAUACAGACAAACAUGGUAUAGCUAAAAUUAACAUCACACCAAACAUAAGAACAAACUGAAUAAGGAUGAUCUAUGCGUUUCUACGAGACUAGCGCAAUUUGAACGGAUCAAAUCGGAGUUAAAACGGAGGAGAUACGAAUUUCUUGAGGUUUUAUGUAUUUGAUACGAGAUUAGCUAAGAAAUGAAUUUUAAUAUCAUUUUCGUGUUAAAAUAGAGACACUAAGUAUUAAAUAAUAUUAAUACAAAAUUAUAGGGACUGGGAUAGAUUAAAAGGAGUUAAAAUGCAUUUUCUAGGAAUUAAUUAAGUUCCUAUAAUUAUUCUCACACAAAAAUGUAUUUUCUAAAUGAAUUCCUUUGAUUUUCUGUUCUCUGGACCGAGCGCACUAUUUACAGAAAACACAGGGACUACGUCGCAAAUAUUCCAAGACUCAGUGUACAGCCGCAUAGGACGGCGGGUUUAUUUUUAAACUAAUCAGGGACUCUUUUGCAAUGUUACGCAGCCGAAAGGGUUUCGUGGGAUCUCGGUCGCACAGAUUACAAUAAACGGCCCAGAUUAAAUGAUGAAUCGGUACGCACCCGGGGUCACUGGAUUUCGAUCCAACGGCCCAAGAUCGCCCGGAUGAAACGGUACAGGGCCGACUAAUCUUGGUCGUUGGUGGCUUGAUCGGCGGCUAGGAUCGGAGGGGCCAACAGGUCACUACUAACUUUAAUCGUGACCACCCCUCUACAAUCCAACGAUGCCAGGGUCGUCUCCCUCACCAGAUUCAAUCCUAGCCAUCCACAGCCGAACGAACGGCCAAGAGGCCAUCACCGACCUCCGGCCAGAUCCUCUAAGACGCGCAGGCAUCCCACGAUGGCGCUAGCCGCCGGCGAGGCCACGGACGACGCCCCGCUGCUCAAUCCACGAACCAACGAAUUCAAUCGCCACAAGAAGGACAAAGCGAAGGAUGCAGAGAGGGUCUUACCAGACAUCAGAGCUGUGAAACCGUUCGCCGCGCAGAGACAGCCAGUGGCGGCGCAAUCCUUCCCCAGAUCUCGUGCUGUGGUCGAGGACGAGCUUGGCCAAACCGAUCCAAACCUCUGCGUGAAUCAUGGAGAACCGGUGAAGCCGCCCUCACUCAGCCCACCGCCAGAAGCGAAGCUCGUUUCGAGUCGUGGCUUCGGGAAGAGGACGACCCGUCAGGAGGGGCCCACGCGCCAGUGGUGUGAGACGGAAGAGCACGCGUGCGGCCGGCUGACACGGCGGACUCAAUCUCGCCCACGCACCUCCCUCCCCCACAGCGGCGACGGCGACCCGGAAGUUCUGCCCUGGCGCACGCGCGAGGAUAGGGAAGAUGUUCUGGGCGACCCUGCGACACCUCCAAACCUGUAGAUGUCUUGGAUGCUUCUCCUCAACCCAGCGCCCUUCCGCGAGACCGAGGUUGGCGGCCCCUCAUUGCUGCAGCGGUGCUGCACGGUUCAUCCAAGGAGUCGCCAUCCAAGCUCUCACCCCGCGCGGCAAGGAGCUCUCGGCGGCCAUCCAAUCUUCCUCCAUGUGGUGAAGCAGCACCGAGCGGCACACGCAGUUGACUAUGACCCCUAGCGGCUGAUCUGUCCCUUCCCCGCCAUGGCGCACAAUGGUGGUCGAUGAAGACAGGAUGGAAGAGAUCAUGGCCCAGGUUUUAUAGCCAAGCGGCGGAGUCCGAUACAGAAGCCCGGAGUCCGCGGAGUACGUCCGGCGGGGGCGGUCGAGUUGUUGCGUAGCCCAGAUUUCCGGCAAGCUGUUGCAAGGCUUCGGUUGGGGAAGAAACCCCGACAAGCCGGGCCCCCGCAUCAGUGAAAAAAAGAUGGGCAGGCUGACCAGUGUCUGGUAAGUGGGCCCCACGUCAACACGAAGCCGAGGCUGGCAGUGGGACAAGCCGCGACAACGGGAAGCGCAAGCGCGGGCGGAAUCAAGCCCAAGGCUGACCGGUGGGUUCCACCCGCCAGUGUCAAACGCGUGGAUUGGGCUGGUUGAAGGAGGAAAGGGAGUGGGCUGAAGGGCUAGGAAUUCGGCCCAUCAGGAGAAAACUGUUUUCUUUUUUUUUUCUCUCUUGUUCAUUUCUAUUUUUUUUUUAUUUUUAAAUUUUCAAAUCCACUUUCAAAUUUGGUUUUGGAUUUCAAAUUCAAUUAAAUGCACAAUCAUAAGAACCAGCAUGAGAUGCAAGUAUUCAUUUUAUUUUAUUUAUUCAUUUAUUUAUUAUCCUACAUAAGAAAAUGUUUUUGGAUAUGUAGCACACAUAUAAUUAUUUUAAGACAAAUAGUUUCUAGUGUGUGAUUACUUAUUAGAAGAUGUUCUUAUACGUUUCAACAAAAGAUAAUUUAUAGAAGAAUCUUUUAUUGAUUCUUUAUUAUAAAACUUUUAUUUUAGGAGAUGUGACUUCAAGAGUUAUGGGAAUUCUAAAAAAAUCUAAUUUAAGAUCUUUGGAAAAAAAAUUUACGUAAUUCUCAAAAUGAGAUUUUGAGGUGUUACAAAUCCUACCCCCCUUAAAAAUAAUCUCGUCCUCGAGAUUUGAAGAAAAGGGAUGCAACCAGUUUGGUUUAGGAAUCAAAAGUUUUGUUUCAUGUUUUUUUAUAGUAGCUAGUAGAUGAUUUGGAAAAUAUAGACAUAUACGUCUAGCCAUCUAUUAGGUCAGAUGAGGUACGAUUAUGGCAAGUAUAGAUAAUAGGUUGUGGCAAGGAAGAGUAUAAUAAGGAAAGACUUCAUCCUGAACUGUGGAUCUUGAUUCCGCUGGCGAUUCAACUUGAUCUUUGAAGUCUUGUGUUGAUGCUUAUCCUUCUUUGACAUGGUUGGUCUUCUUUGGCCUUUAUUUCUUGGAGUUGUCAUCCGAGUUAAGGACAUAUGGCUAGGACAUAUGUGAGUAGGAUGGAUUGUAUGGUGCAGGUAGGUUAGAAUCUCUUGCUAGGUUAAAAUUGUGGGGUUAUGCAACUAUUGGAUGGUUAAGGUAGUUGCAUAUGGCCAAGUCGAUCUGUCAUUCUUAAUUUAGUGCAGGGUGAACUAAGUUAAGACCCGUUCUAUAGGAGUAGAGUCUAAUAUAUUUCAUCAGUAUUAUCUAACAUGUUUGAUAAGUCACUUUAGAUUAGAUCAGAUCUAGGUUAGAUUGGUGUGACUAGUUUGACUAGAUAAGAUCUUAUUUAUUUUAGGCUAGAUCAUGGUUGUUACACUAGCGUGGGAUAAAUAUGCUUAUUGGGGUAAGAUGAAUCCAUAAGGAUAAGGUAGAAUCUUUUGAGGUCAGAUAGAUCUAUUAGGAUAAGAUAAAUCUUUUCAAGAUAAGAUGAGAAUCUAUUUUUUUUAGGAUAAGAUGGAUCUAUGAGUGUAGGAUAGACUUUUUCAAGAUAAGAUGGAUUUUGCUAGGCUAGAUUCUUUGAUGAGGGAUAACCUAGUUCAUUUAGAUAUUUUUAUAAGCACUUUUUCUAUAUGUAUAUGCAGAUGUAAUUGUGGACAUUACUCCACAACUCAUCGCACUCAAUCACAGAUCCAAAUCAGACAAGUAUCAUAAGAACAAAACAUUCAAAUUCAUAGAUAUAAAAAAAAUAGUUUUAUUUUUGUUCCUAAGAGUAGGUCUCCUAUUCCAAAAAGUCACUUUAACCACAGGAUUUCAAAGUGUGAAAUCCAAGUUUGUCUUUAGAAGUGAAAAGGUAAGAAUAAUCAGAGUAAAGCGGAAAUAGAUGAGAAAAGAUUAAGAGAAGUUUAGAAAAGAAUCAGAGUAGCAAAGGUAAGUAGGUAGAGGUUGUCCAGUUCUAUCUAGGUUUCGUCCUACAGUCAACAUUCCUCUGAUACCACUUCUGUCACACCCGGGUUUUAGGGGGUCCAAAGCCCGGGCGUAAACAUAAACACCAGGUGUGCUGGGACCAAGUCUCACACAUAUGAUGCAUAGUGGCUCAGGAUCGAAUGUCACAUCUUUACUACAUAACAGGAGUUCUAUACAAAAUAAAUAGAUAAUUACAUUAUAAGGAGACAACGGUCCAGCAACCCAAAGUUGACUGGGAGACGACGACCUAGACCUCUCACGAACUCGACACAGCAUCCUUCAUGCGCCUCAUCCUGUGGUACCUGUUCUUGACCUGUGGGGGGGGUGUGAGACAGCAAGAGUGAGCUCACAUACGUUCAUCGCUCAACAAGUUGUGGGGAAUAAUGUGUAUGAACUCGCCAAAGGUGGGAGCUCAUGUGAAGUGUAAGGCUUACCAAAGAGGAUGGUUAGAGCUGAGCAUUGCUUUUAAAGUUGGUCAAAAUUUUAUUAGCAAUUACUAAGUAUAAGUAAAUACCAACCCAAUUAAAUAGUAGAACAGAAGUAACAACAUCACCUGUACAACAUCACCUGCGAUGCAAUGCAUAUGACAAAUUGAGUUUAAUUCCAUAAUUUAAUCAUGUGAGUGUCCGAGCCGCUCAUGACCGUGAGCACGGCUAGUAUACCAGUUUUACACUCUGCAGAGGUUGCGCAUCUUUACCCACAAGUCAUGUUACCCAUCUGCCAAGGGAUCGCGACUUCCCAUACACCUCUACCGAGGAGGCGAGGCAGGGUAACACUACGAGGCCUUUACAAAGUUCCACUAGCUUCAGAAAACCCGCUACAGUUUAUAGGAAGCUCCAAUGCAGGAAUCCCUUGCAGGACCGCCAUCACAGCAAAAUCCUCCCGAGGGCCUCCCCAGGAAUCCCUUGCAGGACCGCCAUCACAGCAAAAUCCUCCCGAGGGCCUUCCCAGGAAUCCCUUGCAGGACCGCCAUCACAGCAAAAUCCUCCCGAGGGCCUCCCUACACUGACCACUCCCCUACUGCCCUUGCCCCUUUCGGGUAAGGUAGUCUUCCACUAGCUUUCCUAAUUAAUCGGCCAAGGGCGUCCCAUUAAACCCUUGUGGUAGCACUGUUUUCCCGGGUGGUUCUCCAUGUUCCAAUUAACAUAAUGAUCUUAUCAUGAACAGUGAUAAUAAACAGAUAAUAAAAGUGUGAUCAUGAAUAAUGUAUCUUCAUACCCAAAACCACAUAAAGCACUAGCAAGUACUACCCAAAAAGUUCAGUGGUAAACAAGGUAUAAAGAUAGACAAACUAGGGUAACCUAUUGGGUCCCAUCAAAUUAACCUAUGCAGAUCAUUAUGAUUAAUUAGAACAUGAGUGGGUAAAAAGAAGUGAUCAAGGGCACAACUUGCCUGGGACUUGAGAUUCCAGGUACCAGGAUGAUCUUCAGAUGACUCGUGACCUCACUGCUAGUCGUAGCAAUACAGACAAACAUGGUAUAGCUAAAAUUAACAUCACACCAAACAUAAGAACAAACUGAAUAAGGAUGAUCUAUGCGUUUCUACGAGACUAGCGCAAUUUGAACGGAUCAAAUCGGAGUUAAAACGGAGGAGAUACGAAUUUCUUGAGGUUUUAUGUAUUUGAUACGAGAUUAGCUAAGAAAUGAAUUUUAAUAUCAUUUUCGUGUUAAAAUAGAGACACUAAGUAUUAAAUAAUAUUAAUACAAAAUUAUAGGGACUGGGAUAGAUUAAAAGGAGUUAAAAUGCAUUUUCUAGGAAUUAAUUAAGUUCCUAUAAUUAUUCUCACACAAAAAUGUAUUUUCUAAAUGAAUUCCUUUGAUUUUCUGUUCUCUGGACCGAGCGCACUAUUUACAGAAAACACAGGGACUACGUCGCAAAUAUUCCAAGACUCAGUGUACAGCCGCAUAGGACGGCGGGUUUAUUUUUAAACUAAUCAGGGACUCUUUUGCAAUGUUACGCAGCCGAAAGGGUUUCGUGGGAUCUCGGUCGCACAGAUUACAAUAAACGGCCCAGAUUAAAUGAUGAAUCGGUACGCACCCGGGGUCACUGGAUUUCGAUCCAACGGCCCAAGAUCGCCCGGAUGAAACGGUACAGGGCCGACUAAUCUUGGUCGUUGGUGGCUUGAUCGGCGGCUAGGAUCGGAGGGGCCAACAGGUCACUACUAACUUUAAUCGUGACCACCCCUCUACAAUCCAACGAUGCCAGGGUCGUCUCCCUCACCAGAUUCAAUCCUAGCCAUCCACAGCCGAACGAACGGCCAAGAGGCCAUCACCGACCUCCGGCCAGAUCCUCUAAGACGCGCAGGCAUCCCACGAUGGCGCUAGCCGCCGGCGAGGCCACGGACGACGCCCCGCUGCUCAAUCCACGAACCAACGAAUUCAAUCGCCACAAGAAGGACAAAGCGAAGGAUGCAGAGAGGGUCUUACCAGACAUCAGAGCUGUGAAACCGUUCGCCGCGCAGAGACAGCCAGUGGCGGCGCAAUCCUUCCCCAGAUCUCGUGCUGUGGUCGAGGACGAGCUUGGCCAAACCGAUCCAAACCUCUGCGUGAAUCAUGGAGAACCGGUGAAGCCGCCCUCACUCAGCCCACCGCCAGAAGCGAAGCUCGUUUCGAGUCGUGGCUUCGGGAAGAGGACGACCCGUCAGGAGGGGCCCACGCGCCAGUGGUGUGAGACGGAAGAGCACGCGUGCGGCCGGCUGACACGGCGGACUCAAUCUCGCCCACGCACCUCCCUCCCCCACAGCGGCGACGGCGACCCGGAAGUUCUGCCCUGGCGCACGCGCGAGGAUAGGGAAGAUGUUCUGGGCGACCCUGCGACACCUCCAAACCUGUAGAUGUCUUGGAUGCUUCUCCUCAACCCAGCGCCCUUCCGCGAGACCGAGGUUGGCGGCCCCUCAUUGCUGCAGCGGUGCUGCACGGUUCAUCCAAGGAGUCGCCAUCCAAGCUCUCACCCCGCGCGGCAAGGAGCUCUCGGCGGCCAUCCAAUCUUCCUCCAUGUGGUGAAGCAGCACCGAGCGGCACACGCAGUUGACUAUGACCCCUAGCGGCUGAUCUGUCCCUUCCCCGCCAUGGCGCACAAUGGUGG